RNAcentral lists this non-coding RNA (21 nucleotides) under Arabidopsis thaliana (thale cress). The record is from RNAcentral. Lineage: Eukaryota; Viridiplantae; Streptophyta; Magnoliopsida; Brassicales; Brassicaceae.
AGGUGAGAUCAAGCAACUUCA